CAUUUUCUUAUAUUUGUUGUCUGACCAAACUAACAAUUUUUUGGACAUAGAUUAGAUUAAAUUCAAAUAUGAUACACCAACCCUUAACUAUAUGAUCAAACAAUUGACCAAUAUUUUUAUGGGAUACUUUGACAUUUUUUUAUUCUCAAAAUUUUUAGAGCAAGAAAAUGGUGUCUCAGUACAAAGACAAAAAAAACUUUAAUUUGGGAACUCUCAAGUUUAAGAUAUGUGUUAUUUGUACAUACAAAAUACAAUACAUUUCACAAAAUAUACUCUUGGUCUAAUUUGUUUUUUAUCUGAAAACUGAUAGAAAAUUUGUUUUUCAUCGGAAGUGAUAGAAAAUAAUUACUAAAAAAUCUAAAUUGAAUUCAAAUCACAUAUUUAUACUGUGUUGGAUGUCAGUUAACGUCAAUCCCUUUAUAUAAUGGGAGUCAUGAUUGAGAAUUUUCAGCCGAACCUUGACUAAUCUUUUCCUGCAUAAAAAAGUGAGGAUAUUAAGUUUUCUUCAAAUUGUCUUAAAAAAAGUUGUCUUUCAAUUUUUUUUUUAUAUAUAUGUAGUAUACUAAUAUCUCAAUUUUUUAAUAUUAAAUUCGUCAUUAUUUGAUUGCUUGUAAGUUGAUGUAUUUUUGUAUUUAUCAUAUAUCAUAUAUAGUAUAAUUUUGCUUCUCCCGUUGGUGGAGGGACUUGGCGAGAUCUUGAUGAUUGUGUGGAAGGCAAAGUUUGGUUGGAAGAAGUCUUAGAGCGUAAGGUUGGGGAUGGUGCUAAUACGCGGUUUUGGAGCGACAAUUGGAUAUGAAUGGACCAAAAGAAAGGCACACGAAGGCCCAAUGAAAAGAAAGAAGCUUGUCCAAGUUGAAAGGAAAGAGGAAUACAGCUAGCUAUGAGAGAUUGUUUGGCGGUCUCAGAGAUUGAAAAAAAGGAGAGUUAUUGAUUUUGUCUAUCUUGCUUCAAGUUGCAACACAAUUGGAACACAAGUGCUGAAGGCGGUGAUGAGAAGAAGAGAUCAGGACUUACUGACGAAGGAAUUAAAAUGGAAACAGAGGCGGCAUAACAAAGCUAUAAAUAGGAAACGUUAUUUUUCUGUUUGAACACACGGCUGAGAGUGGAAAAUUGGAGAAGCUUUGGAUUGAAGAUUGGAACUUUGGAGCAAAAUAUUUUCUUCAUUCUAGGGUUAUUUCUUACUCUUAAUUUCAUGAAUUUAAUUUCUAUUUUGGUGUUCUUUUUGAUUAUGGAUAGCUAAAUACUAUUCUAGGGUUUAUGGUGAAUCUUGCAAUUAAAAUUCCUUUUGCUAUGUCUUAGCUUAUAUGUUCUAGUUUCUAAUUUAAAUUUCGAUAUUUUGUUCAA
Trifolium pratense (red clover) is the source of this 1344-nucleotide long non-coding RNA. RefSeq lists it as uncharacterized. The transcript has 2 exons. The record is from RefSeq and is a predicted model, not a curated record. Lineage: Eukaryota; Viridiplantae; Streptophyta; Magnoliopsida; Fabales; Fabaceae.